UACGAAGGGGGCUAGCGUUGCUCGGAAUUACUGGGCGUAAAGGGAGCGUAGGCGGACAUUUAAGUCAGGGGUGAAAUCCCAGAGCUCAACUCUGGAACUGCCUUUGAUACUGGGUGUCUUGAGUGUGAGAGAGGUAUGUGGAACUCCGAGUGUAGAGGUGAAAAUUCGUAGAUAUUCGGAAGAAACACCAGUGGCGAAGGCGACAUACUGGCUCAUUACUGACGCUGGAGGCUCGAAAGCGUGGGGAGCAAACAGG
This 256-nucleotide ribosomal RNA is filed under the name uncultured bacterium. RNAcentral describes it as "partial 16S ribosomal RNA". It matches the Rfam family "Bacterial small subunit ribosomal RNA", at positions 524 to 776 of the family's 1533-position model. The record is from RNAcentral.